CAAAUUUUAAAUCUACCUGGUUUCCAGGUCGAGUUGUAAUUUGAAGAAGUGUUUUUUACUUUCCGGGUUGGGUUAAAUCCUUUGGGAUAAGGUAUCAUGGAGGGUGAGAAUCCCGUGUAUACCAACCGCAGGAUYGUUUAAUAUACACUUUCUAAGAGUCGAGUUGUUUGGGAAUGCAGCUCUAAAUGGGUGGUAAAUUUCACCUAAUGCUAAAUAUAAGCGAGAGACCGAUAGCGAACAAGUACCGUGAGGGAAAGAUGAAAAGAACUUUGAAAAGAGAGUUAAAUAGUACGUGAAAUUGUUGAAAGGGAAACGGUUGAAGUCAGUCAUGCCGGCGGGAAUCAACUUAGGGGAAACUCUGAGUGCACUUCUUCGCUUGGCAGGUUAGCGUCGAUUUUGGAUGUCAUAAAAUGACUGGGGGAAGGUAGCUCUUUCGGGAGUGUUAAGCCCUURGUAGAUGUGAUGUCCGGGAUCGAGGAUUGCAACGGAUACCUUUUGGGCUARCCGCCUAGUCUCUAAUACGAAGUUGGGUUAUGGACAGCACGCUGACUGUGAUCUGAUUUUCGGUUAAAAGAU
Molecule: ribosomal RNA, 576 nt
Filed under: Glomeromycotina sp.
Lineage: Eukaryota; Fungi; Glomeromycota
Description: eukaryotic LSU rRNA
Rfam family: Eukaryotic large subunit ribosomal RNA
Source: RNAcentral